UAACCUGCCUUACACAAGGGGAUAGCCUCUGGAAACGGAGAAUAAUACCCUAUGACAUUACAGCCUCGCAUGAAGCAGUAAUCAAAGUGUCUAGCGGUGUAAGAUGGACUUGCGUCUGAUUAGCUAGUUGGUGAGAUAACAGCUCACCAAGGCAACGAUCAGUAGCCGGCUUGAGAGAGUGUACGGCCACAUUGGGACUGAGACACGGCCCAG
RNAcentral lists this ribosomal RNA (213 nucleotides) under uncultured Eubacteriales bacterium. RNAcentral's name for it is "uncultured Clostridiales bacterium partial 16S ribosomal RNA". It matches the Rfam family "Bacterial small subunit ribosomal RNA", at positions 122 to 334 of the family's 1533-position model. The record is from RNAcentral. Lineage: Bacteria; Bacillati; Bacillota; Clostridia; Eubacteriales.